CCUACGGGGGGCAGCAGUGGGGAAUAUUGCACAAUGGGGGAAACCCUGAUGCAGCGACGCCGCGUGAGUGAAGAAGUAUUUCGGUACGUAAAGCUCUAUCAGCAGGGAAGAAAAUGACGGUACCUGACUAAGAAGCCCCGGCUAACUACGUGCCAGCAGCCGCGGUAAUACGUAGGGGGCAAGCGUUAUCCGGAUUUACUGGGUGUAAAGGGAGCGUAGACGGCAGCGCAAGUCUGAAGUGAAAUCCCAUGGCUUAACCAUGGAACUGCUUUGGAGACUGUGCAGCUAGAGUGCAGGAGAGGGAAGCGGAAUUCCUAGUGUAGCGGUGAAAUGCGUAGAUAUCAGGAGGAACACCAGUGGCGAAGGCGGCUUACUGGACUGUAACUGACGUUGAGGCUCGAAAGCGUGGGGAGCAAACAGGAUUAGAUACCCUUGUAGUC
This 440-nucleotide ribosomal RNA is filed under the name uncultured bacterium. Its description in RNAcentral is "partial 16S ribosomal RNA". It matches the Rfam family "Bacterial small subunit ribosomal RNA", at positions 338 to 795 of the family's 1533-position model. The record is from RNAcentral.